CGAACUGCGAAUGGCUCUUAUAUAAGUUAUCGUUUAUUUGAUAGUACCUUACUACUUGGAUAACCGUGGUAAUUCUAGAGCUAAUACAUGCUAAAAAUCCCGACUUCGGAAGGGAUGUAUUUAUUAGAUUAAAAACCAAUGCCCUCUGGGCUCUUUGGUGAUUCAUGAUAACUUCUCGAAUCGCACGGCCUUGCGCCGGCGAUGGUUCAUUCAAAUUUCUUCCCUAUCAACUUUCGAUGUUUGGGUAUUGGCCAAACAUGGUUGCAACGGGUAACGGAGGGUUAGGGCUCGACCCCGGAGAAGGAGCCUGAGAAACGGCUACUACAUCCAAGGAAGGCAGCAGGCGCGCAAAUUACCCAAUCCCGACACGGGGAGGUAGUGACAAUAAAUACUGAUACAGGGCUCUUUUGGGUCUUGUAAUUGGAAUGAGUACAAUUUAAAUCCCUUAACGAGGAACAAUUGGAGGGCAAGUCUGGUGCCAGCAGCCGCGGUAAUUCCAGCUCCAAUAGCGUAUAUUAAAGUUGUUGUGGUUAAAAAGCUCGUAGUUGAACCUUGGGCCUGGCUGGCCGGUCCGCCUCACCGCGUGUACUGGUCCGGCCGGGCCUUUCCCUCUGUGGAACCUCAUGCCCUUCACUGGGUGUGACGGGGAAACAGGACUUUUACUUUGAAAAAAUUAGAGUGCUCCAGGCAGGCCUAUGCUCGAAUACAUUAGCAUGGAAUAAUGAAAUAGGACGUGUGGUUCUAUUUUGUUGGUUUCUAGGACCGCCGUAAUGAUUAAUAGGGACAGUCGGGGGCAUCAGUAUUCAAUUGUCAGAGGUGAAAUUCUUGGAUUUAUUGAAGACUAACUACUGCGAAAGCAUUUGCCAAGGAUGUUUUCAUUAAUCAGGAACGAAAGUUAGGGGAUCGAAGACGAUCAGAUACCGUCGUAGUCUUAACCAUAAACUAUGCCGACUAGGGAUCGGACGAUGUUAU
RNAcentral lists this ribosomal RNA (972 nucleotides) under Lecanicillium coprophilum. RNAcentral's name for it is "SSU rRNA". It matches the Rfam family "Eukaryotic small subunit ribosomal RNA", at positions 83 to 1066 of the family's 1831-position model. The record is from RNAcentral. Lineage: Eukaryota; Fungi; Ascomycota; Sordariomycetes; Hypocreales; Cordycipitaceae.